GAGCAGCGGUAGUGACCUUCUUUUUGCUGCUACAGUGGCUGGGGUGGUGAGGUGUAUGGGAAUCGGCCUCAGGCACCAGAUGCUUCAGGGUGUGGACCUCGGCCACCAGGAGAAGGUUACGCACACCGGCCAGAAAAAGAAAAUUAAUUUAGAAGAUUGAAAAAAUGGUGGAUUGUAUAUGGAAGAUGAAUAGCUUGUACACGAGAGCUCCCUGAGGACAAAAUUAGGAUGAGGAGGUUCCUCUCGGCUAAGAUACUUUCUCAGACUUUGUUUUUGAUGGCUUUGAGAGUUUUGAAGUUGGAUGUCCUUGUACCUACGGAGGGACAAGACAUGACAUUAAGGGAAGAGAAUACUGAGACACAGAAAAGAAAGAUGACAAAUAUUUUGCCUAAGUAUAAACUCAUUUAUUUAAGGACAACAGACAGAAUUUUAGUCCAUGUGGUUCCAAUGAUUAAAUCAAAUGAUUUAAUUGUGCUUAGAGAAAAAUACUGAAAAUGAGUAGAAAAAAUUUCCAAAUUGGAUUGCCUAUAAAUAAAUAAAUAAAUAAAUAAAUAAAUAAAUUUAUUGUGAAAGAACAAACAGACAAAUAAAAGUAAAUUACUUUUUAAAACAAUUUCCUUUAAGGAGUUUGGAAAGACCUGGCUUUUGCUUGCUACUUUGUCAAGUCAGUUCCUUGUUCUUUCACAAGGUGGUGCUAUAAAUGUGACUUUCCUUUACUGACUAAACUAGAAGAUGCCUUUCCCACAAUUUGGAUAAUUGCAUCUUUAGCUGUCAGACCCUCUGUUUUAUGAUUACUUGCUAGUUAACAGUAAAGUGUUUGUCAGUGACUUUAUGAUCACUUGUAAUUGGCCAUGAAAGAAUGUAUAAGAAAUGAUCUGGAGAAAAAUAUAACAUCUACUUUGCUCUCAAGGCAGGGAGCAAAAUCCUUACUCUAGUUGCCUAUGUGUCCCAGUGUGACAGAUCUUUAGUUAUAAUUUCCAUAAACACAGUAGUAUGGCAAAAACCUAAGAAAAGAAAAUUCUUGCUGUGUUUUUGAUUCAUCAAGACUAAGGCCAAUUUCUUCUUUUUUUGUUUCCCUUUUUAUAAUUAGGAAUUAGGUUAAUAUUGUGUGAGAUUCGUAAAAAUCUAGAUUAGUGUGAUGCUUUGGGAAUUUGUGUUUUGAUGACUAGUUAAAUUGUUGUGAAUAAUGUACCAUUAUUGAUAUUUUUUGUUCAUGGAUAUGUGUAUAUAUUUAAUUGCUUAAUUAUCUUAAAUACGUUUCAAGUUGUCCUUCAAGAAAACGUGUGUAUUCUUUUUAUUUGAAUUGUCUAUAGGCAAAACAUUUGCUAUUAUUUGCAGUUUAAAAUAUAAUAAAAUCUACAGAGAAGUUAGAAUUC
Long non-coding RNA from Sus scrofa (pig), 1376 nucleotides. RefSeq lists it as uncharacterized. Lineage: Eukaryota; Metazoa; Chordata; Mammalia; Artiodactyla; Suidae. The record is from RefSeq and is a predicted model, not a curated record.